GAGUUUGAUCAUGGCUCAGAACGAACGCUGGGGGCGUGCUUAACACAUGCAAGUCGCACGAGAAAGUCCCUUCGGGGGUGAGUACAGUGGCGCACGGGUGAGUAACACGUAGGUAACCUACCCCUAAGACUGGGAUAACCCGCCGAAAGGCGAGCUAAUACCGGAUAAGACCACGGGGGUUCCGGCCCCCGAGGUAAAAGGUGGCCUCUGCAUGCAAGCUACCACUUGGAGAUGGGCCUGCGUACCAUUAGCUUGUUGGUGGGGUAAUGGCCUACCAAGGCGAAAAUGGUUAGCUGGUCUGAGAGGAUGAUCAGCCACACUGGGACUGAGACACGGCCCAGACUCCUACGGGAGGCAGCAGUGGGGAAUCUUGGGCAAUGGGCGAAAGCCUGAGCCAGCAACGCCGCGUGGGUGAUGAAGGCCCUCGGGUCGUAAAGCCCUGUCAGAGGGAACGAACAAAUGCAAAGCGAAUAGCUUUGCAUCUUGACGGUACCUUCAGAGGAAGCACCGGCUAACUCCGUGCCAGCAGCCGCGGUAAUACGGAGGGUGCUAGCGUUGUUCGGAAUUACUGGGCGUAAAGCGCGUGUAGG
This 590-nucleotide ribosomal RNA is filed under the name uncultured delta proteobacterium. RNAcentral's name for it is "bacterial SSU rRNA". It matches the Rfam family "Bacterial small subunit ribosomal RNA", at positions 9 to 575 of the family's 1533-position model. Lineage: Bacteria; Deltaproteobacteria. The record is from RNAcentral.